UGGGGGAAUUUUGGACAAUGGGCGAAAGCCUGAUCCAGCAAUGCCGCGUGUGUGAAGAAGGCCUUCGGGUUGUAAAGCACUUUUGUCCGGAAAGAAAUCCUUGGCUCUAAUACAGUCGGGGGAUGACGGUACCGGAAGAAUAAGCACCGGCUAACUACGUGCCAGCAGCCGCGGUAAUACGUAGGGUGCAAGCGUUAAUCGGAAUUACUGGGCGUAAAGCGUGCGCAGGCGGUUUGCUAAGACCGAUGUGAAAUCCCCGGGCUCAACCUGGGAACUGCAUUGGUGACUGGCAGGCUAGAGUAUGGCAGAGGGGGGUAGAAUUCCACGUGUAGCAGUGAAAUGCGUAGAGAUGUGGAGGAAUACCGAUGGCGAAGGCAGCCCCCUGGGCCAAUACUGACGCUCAUGCACGAAAGCGUGGGGAGCAAACAGGAUUAGAUACCCUGGUAGUCCACGCCCUAAACGAUGUCAACUAGUUGUUGGGGAUUCAUUUCCUCAGUAACGUAGCUAACGCGUGAAGUUGACCGCCU
RNAcentral lists this ribosomal RNA (527 nucleotides) under uncultured bacterium. RNAcentral describes it as "partial 16S ribosomal RNA". It matches the Rfam family "Bacterial small subunit ribosomal RNA", at positions 354 to 874 of the family's 1533-position model. The record is from RNAcentral.